This 276-nucleotide long non-coding RNA is filed under the name Gossypium barbadense (sea-island cotton). RNAcentral's name for it is "long non-coding RNA (GBAR_LNC016872)". The record is from RNAcentral. Lineage: Eukaryota; Viridiplantae; Streptophyta; Magnoliopsida; Malvales; Malvaceae.
AAAAUAGAUGAAACCCUAGGGUUUCUAAUCUUCAACAGCGCCGCAGUCGAGCCUUGCCUCACCCCCGAAUAUUCCCGAUCUACACCUGUGAACACAAGAAAGGAAACAAAAAUCAAAUCAAACCAAAUCAAAUCAAGAAGAUUUCUCGUUUCCGUUUCUUGUAUUUUCAUUCGGCUAUAUAAAGCCAUUGUAAUUCGCGGAGAAGGGAAAAUUUCCCUUCCAGCCUCUCUAUAUAAUUCGCGCGUCCAAUUAAGUCCUCCAGACUUUAUUUAUUUA